Molecule: ribosomal RNA, 393 nt
Filed under: uncultured bacterium
Lineage: Bacteria
Description: partial 16S ribosomal RNA
Rfam family: Bacterial small subunit ribosomal RNA
Source: RNAcentral
AUACGGAGGAUGCGAGCGUUAUCCGGAUUUAUUGGGUUUAAAGGGUGCGUAGGCUGUGCGUUAAGUCAGGGGUGAAAUGCCGUCGCUCAACGACGGAGCUGCCCUUGAUACUGGCGUGCUGGAGUACGGAUGCCGUUGGAGGAAUGAGUGGUGUAGCGGUGCAAUGCUUAGAUAUCACUCAGAACACCGAUUGCGAAGGCAUCUGACGAAUCCGUCACUGACGCUGAGGCACGAAAGCGUGGGGAUAGAACAGGAUUAGAUACCCUGGUAUUCCACGCCGUAAACGAUGAUGACUAACCGUCGGCGAUAGACAGCCGGUGGCCAAGCGAAAGCGAUAAGCCAUCCACCUGGGGAGUACGUCGGCAACGAUGAAACUCAAAGGAAUUGACGGGG